This is a long non-coding RNA of Mastomys coucha (southern multimammate mouse), 4735 nucleotides long. RefSeq lists it as uncharacterized. The transcript is spliced from 2 exons. The record is from RefSeq and is a predicted model, not a curated record. Lineage: Eukaryota; Metazoa; Chordata; Mammalia; Rodentia; Muridae.
UGCUCAGCUUUGCGUGGCUGGCGGUGUCUGAGCUCUGACCCUUGAGCUCCUGAAGCGCCUGCUCAUGACUGCACCCGUGCUCCAAAGGCCCUGACCACUGACACCUGUGCUCCUGAACACCGGCACCCGCAUUACUUCCCAGCUCCAGUUCCUAGAGAAGCCAGGCCUCUGCUUCCCUUUUCUGGUCCCUUCUUUCAUGGGGGAAGCCCUCACUUCAGAAGAGGAAUGACAGCAGUCCCGCGGGUGGGGGUGGGGGCUGGCAGCAGCUCUGAGGGCAGACCUUGAUUUUCAGGCCCAGGAGGAAUGCUGGUCCUCCCAGGUCUGAGAGGAAGAAGGCGGUACCCUGGGCGAUGACCACAUCACAGAGGAAAUAAGAGGGCACUGAUAUGAGAACCACACACCCCUUGGAACACAGACCUACCAGCUUACAGGAGUACUUGUUCGCCAGCUCCUGUUCCCAGAAGGGACAUCUUCUGAAUGGAGACACAGGUGAUCCCGCCAGGUCCGUCUUUAUUGAACCUUCAUCUGUUGGAUCGUUGCUCCCUGAAAUAAAAUGGAGUUCCAUCAAGUUCUUGUCCUGUCAGAUGUGUGGUGCCUGAGCUGUGAAGAGAGAUAACUGCAUCAGGAAUCCUGGACUGACAGGAAAAUGCAGGUCACUGGCUUCCUUUCUGAAUGACACAUUUCAGGCUAAAAAUGGAAGGGGAAAGGAUCGUGGGCCCCCCUCAUAGUGCUGGCUGGCAGGGAAGGGUCCCACCUGGGCCAGAGCACACCAAUUUUAUUUGAAAUGAUUUCUCCAGGACUUAUGAAAGAUUUCCUUGGACUAGAAUGGGCUGCCAUGAGCCCCACUGAUUGCGCUUUGAUGCAAAAUCAGCCACACUGACCUGAGGCUUUAUCUCUCCCCUCUUUACGGUCUGCUCAGUUCUGAUGAAUUCUGACCCGGAAUUCUGGCAGCUUCCGGGUCAGAAUUUCACACACCCACCUGCGGCUUCCUCAGUUCCUAUGUGCACCUGGCUGAGCUCAGCUACUGUGGUCUCUCGGGGUUUUGGCUCCUGGAGGUCAGCAGCUUCUUUGGAUUCCUGGGCACCAUUCCUCAGGGCGGAUGGUUGUGCUCAGCCAUCAUCACACAGUGAGCCACACACAAUAGCGGACCCUCCCUGGGGGUUGCUCCCUCUCUGUGGUACCCCUGUGGUUAUUGCUGAGACUUACACUCAGGACUGGGGAGUUGGGGAUACUGCCCCAGCAACCAUUGCUCCUGAACUCUGAGCACCUGACCCUGAACUUGGAGAAAUUCCUACUGGGUAUUUCCAGUAUGCUGUAUCAACACCCUGCCUGGAGGACUCUUGGACACACACGGGGCAGGAGUGCUGAGGGUGAUGCUCAAGCCUUCCUUCCACGGAUGCUCUCUGUGCCCCUGUCCCAGAGCACACUGUUAUCUGGUCUGUGGAGGGCGCUGAGAUAGUCAACCACUGACCAUCUGUUCCAGCCCUGAGCAGCUUCUCACUGAGACAGCCCAGUUAGGCCAGCUGCUCCAGAGUCCAGACUGACCUGGGUAUAUCUGCUCUCUGGCUGCUGCUGCUGCUGCUGCUGCUGCUGCUGCUGCUGCUGCUGCUGCUGCUGCUGUUCCCAAAGCAAUGUUUCUCAAAGUGUGGUCCUGAAACCACAUCCUAGGGCACUUGGGAGCCAGAUUCCUCAUCCUUGGGUGACUCGGAGGAGGCCAGAAAUCUAGCACUUCAACCACCUUUCUAGAACCUGCCGGGUGACAGCUAUAAAUCUAGGCAGGUGUGUGUGUGUGCACGCAUGCAUGUGUGCUGCACACAUGAGCUCCCAUGUGGAGGAGAAGGUGGGAUGCCAGGCAUCUUCUUCUGUUGUCCAGCUUCUUGCCUCGAGACAUGGUCUUUCAGUGUACACUGGAAGCAUGAUGUUUUGUCUAGGCUUGCUGGCCAGUGAGCCAGCCAGAUCUGCCUGUCUCUGCUCCUUAAUGCUGGGUUUACAGACAGACGUGUGCAGCUGUGCCUGGCUACUUCUGUGGGUGCCUGGGAUUCAAUUUUAGACCCACACUCUAACCACCUAGAUACCCUAAAUAGUCUAUUUUCUUUUCCUCCCUCUCUCCUUCCUCCCCUCCAUCCUUCUUUUCUUCUUUUCUCCUCCCUUCCUUUCCCUCUCCUUCUAUUCUGAGACCACCAACGUUCUCUAUUUCAACAUGACAAAUGACUGUCUUGCAACCCAGAUGUCACGCUAUAGUAUAGUGUCUAGACACUGAUGGCUUCUCCAUCCUAGACCGGACUUCUGUAUCGAUCAGUUACCCCCUGCAAGGCUCAGGGAACAUCUCAGAAGUGGGUGAGGGGGAAAAAAAUGUAAGAGCCGGAGAGUAGGGAGGAUUGCCGCGGACUGCUGUCUUCUGGACAGCAGAUGGCCAUUGCACUGAGGAGCUCACAAUUGCACAAACACACACGCAAGAUGGAGCCUCAGAAGCAUCCAGUGUGGAUGGGGGAGGGGCUCACAAGGCCCUACCCUUGGCUUAGGAGUUAUUAGCCAGAGGAGCAAGAGUCACUUUUCUCUGGAGAUGUGGCAGGUUGCUUGUGCUACAGGGAAUGGCCCUCACUUGGGUGCACAUGGUGAGAACACACUGGAUGGACUUAAGAGGGGUGUGUUUCAAGACUAUCUGGAGGGAGCAGGUAGAUAUGAUGAAAAUGUAUACAUGUAUGAAAUUCUCAAAGGAUAAAUAAUAUAUAUAGAUACAAAUGAUCGUAAGAAUAUAAAAAGUACAUUUGUCAUGAGACAUCAAAAGGAAAACUCUUGAGUGCCUGAAACAUGGAGUACUUGGUCUCUUCCUGUGUCUUUUUCAUGUCGCAGCCAUGAGGUGAACAGCUUUGCUCCAGCACACACUCCACACCAUGACACUCUGCUUCAACACAGCCCCAGAAGCAGUGGGGCAAAACCAUAGAAGUUUAUAAAACCCAAAAUGCAAGCCAAGGUAAGCCUUUUCAAUAUUUAAGUUGAUCAGAGCAGGUAUUUUGUUACAGUAACAGAGAGCUGACUGAGACAAAGCUUAUGUAUCCACUCUUGAGGAUACAAUGGAGAUACCUUCUUACUGUUGCCAAAUCCCCAGGCAUCAGUUCCUGUUCUGAGUUACAUCACUCAGGAAAGCUUUCUGGCUUGCCUUUUGUCCUUUCUACAUCUUCCUCACCCCUCCCAGUAUGUCCUGUUCUCCUUUUGAAGAGGUUUGAUGGUGUACCACACCCUCCUGAAUCAAAUCCAGAUUCUGAAGCCUGGCAUUAGCAAGCUCUUCAGGCUUGACAUCUAUCUCUCAAAGCCAGUCCUCAAGGCCUCCACAUUGUUAGCCCUACCUCUCAGGUCAGAUGCAAGCUACACCCCAAGGUGAAUCCUCUCCCAACAAGGAUUCUGGGCGUCCCUUUUUAACUGGCAGAACUAUGGGGCCCCAAGACACCCACACUCUAAUCUUCAUAUACUGUGACUCUGCUACCUUACAAGGCAGGAGGGACCUCGGCACAGGGAGAGCCUUCUCCUGAUGUCAAACAAUCACAAGAGUUCUUGAAAACAGGUGGCUGAACUCAGCUCAGAGAAGGACUUGGUUUAUACUGUGCUGGCUUUGAAGACAGAAUAUGGGGCUGUAAGCCCAGGAAUAUAGGUGGCCUUUAGAUGCUGGAAAAUUCCUCCAGCCUGCAGUUAGAGACCUCUACAGAAGCCGUGACCUCAGUCUGGUGAAAACUGAUGGGGUUUCCCUGGUUGUCUGUCAUAGCUAAAAUGAAUGUCGGGCUAAAGCGCUCAGGCAGGAGCCGGGUACUAUAGGGAAGAUAACUAAGAGGCUUGCAGCUGGGUAUGAACUAGCUAAGCUGGCUGGGUAAGAGGAAGGACAGGAUUCAAUUAAAAUAAGUCAAGUCAGACUCUAGCUCCCACCCUCGCCACACACACAGCAGGGGCUUUACAAGGCACCUUGUCCUUCCUUUCCUCUGGCUAGCUUCUCAGUUUUAUGAACAGUUACACUUUAAAAAAAAAUAUUACUUUAUUUUCUGCAUAUGGGUAUUUUACCUGCAUGCACAGGUAUGAGCACUAUAUACAUGCCUCGUGUCAUGGAUUCCCCGGAGAACUGGAAUUACAGACAGCUGUGAGCUGCCAUUCGAGUGCUGGGAAUUGAACCUGGGUUCUAUAGAGGAGCAGCCAGUGCUCUAACUGCUGAGCCAUCUCUCCAGCCCCUGGAUAGUUAACACUUUUUGGUGUAUUCUUACAUCCGACUGUAACAGACAUUCUGAAUUGUGGGUAAGGACAGCUUGGCUCCUGGGAAAGCUUCUACCAAUACCAGGAAGGAGAUCACUCCAGACCAUUCAGGGGAGGAGAAAAAAACACCCCAAGAGUAGUAAGUCCAGAUGGCAUGGGUCUGCACUCAGCUCAGUCUGCUCUCACAGCACGGCUGUUGCUUAGCCAGCUGCUGAGCAUCCACACUGCCGGCCUGCUCUGUCAACCUGUGUCCUGGAGUGAAUUCCUUGGCAGUAUAGAGACUGCCAGGGCACUCGGAGGGGAUUCAAGAAUUUACCAGCCCCCAUGCAUACCAUCUAACCCAGCACAAUCCCCCUUCUGCAGUUCUGGACUCACUGCCGCUCAACAGAGUCCCAGUUGCUCCCUGACUACAGACAAUACUCUUCGAGCACAAGGCCACGAGAUUUUGUCUUUAUAACUUUUGAGUACUGGUUACCAAAAAUAGAUGUUUUAAAAAGUG